AGUGAACGCUGGCGGUAGGCCUAACACAUGCAAGUCGAACGGCAGCACAGUAAGAGCUUGCUCUUACGGGUGGCGAGUGGCGGACGGGUGAGGCAUACAUCGGAAUCUACUUUUUCGUGGGGGAUAACGUAGGGACACUUACGCUAAUACCGCAUACGACCUACGGGUGAAAGCAGGGGAUCUUCGCACCUUGCGCGAUUGUAUGAGCCGAUGUCGGAUUAGCUAGUUGGCGGGGUAAAGGCCCACCAAGGCGACGAUCCGUAGCUGGUCUGAGAGGAUGAUCAGCCACACUGGAACUGAGACACGGUCCAGACUCCUACGGGAGGCAGCAGUGGGGAAUAUUGGACAAUGGGCGCAAGCCUGAUCCAGCCAUACCGCGUGAGUGAAGAAGGCCUUCGGAUUGUAAAGCCCUUUUGUUGGGAAAGAACAGCAGCAGGUUAAUACCCCGCUGUUCUGACAGUACCCAAAGAAUAAGCACCGGCUAACUUCGUG
This 492-nucleotide ribosomal RNA is filed under the name uncultured bacterium. RNAcentral describes it as "partial 16S ribosomal RNA". It matches the Rfam family "Bacterial small subunit ribosomal RNA", at positions 29 to 507 of the family's 1533-position model. The record is from RNAcentral.